This is a non-coding RNA of Antechinus flavipes (yellow-footed antechinus), 532 nucleotides long. NCBI's taxonomy places the organism in Eukaryota, Metazoa, Chordata, Mammalia, Dasyuromorphia, Dasyuridae. The record is from the annotation of a RefSeq genome assembly.
GAGCAUCGACACCAUGGCCUUGAUCCCUCUCUUCAUCCUGCUUGUCCUUUGCACAGGGAGCAGAGCUCAGUCUGUGGUGACUCAGGAGCCUUCUCUGACCGUGAUCCCAGGAGGAACGGUCACCCUGACCUGCAGCUCCAGCACAGGGGCGGUCACCUCUGGGCACUAUCCCUAUUGGUUCCAGCAGAAAUCUGGCCAAUCCCCGAGGAGGCUCAUUUACGAUACCAACAAUCUUGUAUCAGGUGUCCCUGCCCGGUUCUCAGGGUCCCUCCUUGGGGACAAAGCUGCCCUCACCAUCAAGGGGGCCCAGCCUGAGGAUGAGGCUCACUACUACUGUGCCUUGCAUUAUAGUGGUGGUCUAUGGCACAACCUGGUGGUGAGAGGGCAGACCUUGUUAUACCUACAGAGGCUUUUUGAAACUGACCGGUCCUACACAUUCCAGGCACUCCCUUUGGAAGCCAGCCAGAGCCAUGCUGCUCUUUCCAGGGAUGUUGCCAGGACCUUGAAAGCUAGGAAACCAAUGGAUGAGUGA